Phacochoerus africanus (Common warthog) is the source of this 3315-nucleotide long non-coding RNA. RefSeq lists it as uncharacterized. The transcript is spliced from 4 exons. Lineage: Eukaryota; Metazoa; Chordata; Mammalia; Artiodactyla; Suidae. The record is from RefSeq and is a predicted model, not a curated record.
UGCCGGGUCCUUAACCCACUGAGCAAGGGCAGGGACCGAACCCGCAACCUCAUGGUUCCUAGUCGGAUUCGCUAACCACUGCGCCACAACGGGAACUCCGCCAUUCAAAUAUUAACUGGCAGCUGUGGAAAGUCCAAGAAGCACUUAAAUCUCUUUACCUUUUUCUUGCAUUUUUAUUCUUACCUCAAACUCUGUCUUUAACCCCAGGUCUACCCCCUAAGUCCUAAUCAGAAAGCUGUCAAGCCUGAGGUCCUCCUCCUCUUUACUCCACUUUCUACUGUCUCAUCUUUCUAGUAAGAAACUCUUGCCCCUGUUGCUAGUGGGGGUUAAUUAUCCUAGUCUUUCACCUUGUAAGGCUGUGAUUCUUAGAAACUGUUAUCCUCACUUUGUACCACCAGGGACCAUAGACCAAAGGUGCACAGGAAGGACUUAUCUCUUCCAGGGGAGCGUGAGGCUUUCAGCCAAAGAAGAAGUUUUUAGGGGAAAGGGAGAAUUUAACACAAUUUUUUUUUUUCUUAAAUCCCCAUCACAUAGGGCCCUCCAGUAACUAUGGAGGACCAAAUGGACAGGUGACAAACAUAAUUUAUAAAGCUGUUGCAGUAAUCCAGGUAAGUUUCCAAACUAAGAUAGUGACCAUGUGGAUAAAAGGGGGACUGAUUGCAGGGGUCUUGUGAAGGUAGAAACCAAUAGAACUGAGCUCUGAUUAUAUUGCACAUUAAAGAAGAAGAGUGAGUGAGAGAUUACUAGCUUGGCCAAACUGGCUGAUGAGCCUUAAGUGAAAUGCAUGCAAUAGAGAAGGGAAAGCACACUACAGUGUGUUUGAGCUGCUGGUAGGAAAUUCAAGUGUAGCACCCAGUGGCUUAUGUACAGUCUAGAGCUGAGAAGAGAGGUUUGACCCUAAAGUAGAGCUGGAGGGUUGUCUUUGGGAGUGGGUGUGUUCACCUAGGAAAAAGCAGUGGCUGGCUGGCUUCUUACCAUGUUAUAUACAUAUAAAUAAUGCCUAUCUAGUUGAGGGCCUAAUGUGCCAGACAUUGUACCAAGCCCUUUACAUGCCUUCUCUCUCAAAAAGCCCCUACAGAGUAGAUAUUUUAAUCUAAUCCUACUGAUGAGGAACUCCUAAAAAGGUAGGUGUCUUGCCAAAGGUCCCGCAACGAGCAGGGGGUAUGGCCAGGCUUGAGUUCAGGUUAGUGAGAUCAGUGGUUCUUAAAUCUUUUUUUUUUUUUUUUCCCCUACAUUCUCAGAAUCACAUGAAAGAAAUUAUAGGUUCUCUCUGAGUGAGGCACAGGCACCCCACAUUUUCUCUUCCACUUCCAGGAUUUACAAACUUGAAGCCCAUCCUCUGGGGCCCAGGGGGAGAAGACAGACCAAGAUGAAACCCUGGAGAAGAGAGUAUUUUGAAGAUGGACAGAGAAGCAGGACUGAAGGAAGAAAGCAGGAUAAUUGGAACAACAGGUGUUCACUGAGAGGGAGAGUUAGAAGAUCCUGGGCAGGGAGACUGUGGAAGAAUUAAAGCUCGAGCCAGACUGCUCUUGCCAGGAUGACCAUUCAGCAAACCUGGGAUCCUCCUCCAGCAAAUCCAGCUGCUUUGCCUCUAGGGUUCAUUCCACCGUUAGUUAUUCAACGCCUAUCCAGCUCAGGUCCAUGAUGACACUUAAAAUCGGGCCAUUCCUCUGCUGCCAACCUCCAGGGACUUUUCUCUUUCCUCCCUUAGAUAAUUUUCUGCAUGAUCUCACCCUCCUUUUUAUUUAAAUAUCUCCUUACCAGAGAGGCCUUCUGUGACACUGAUACAGAGCUCUUCACACCCUGUAUCACUUUGUCACCUAUAUCCAGCUUUGUAUUUCUUUUUUCACAGCAGCUGUCCCAAUCUGACCACAUUUAUAAUUGGGAAAAAGAUUCCCUUUGCCAAUAUCUAUAUAGGUUUUUUUAAAAGCUGUAUUUAGUAAGAUUGGCUUUGGCAGAUUCUAGAGUCUUAGGUUAUGGUAUCCUUCUAAAAAGGAGUAACUUCCAGUCUUUUAUAGGUACUUAUUUCUGAGGGAAACCUUCUGAUACAUUUCAUUUCUCAACUUUUAAGUACUAAGCACUGUUUUUAAUUAUGGGCUUCUACUCUGUAGCAUUUUUCUCUUCUUUUUUUACCCAAGGCACAUGGAAGUUUCUAGGCCAGGGAUCUCAGGAGUGACAAUGCUGGAUCCUUAACCCACUGAGCCACCAUGGACCUCCAUCUUCUGUUUAAAGACUGGCUAAGAAUAUGGAGGACAAGGAGCUAUGUUCUCUGAAAUGAUGUAAACUGAGAGAUGUAGAAGGAAGGCAACAGUGGUCUAAAGGUGAUGUAUUCGCCCUCUGCAAAAUUCACUUUCCUGGAUUUUUUCCUAAGAAAAUAAGCAGAUGUGGAAAAGCAUUGUAAAAUGUAGCAGUGUUCACAACAGGGUUACUUGUAAUAGGGAAAAAUUGGAAACAACAUAACUUUGUAAUCAGGAGAGGAUAAAUUAUGGCACAUUCAAUACACUGAAAUAGCAAAGUCCUUAAAGGAUAAGUGGAAGUUUCAAGGAGUUCGGCCUCUUUGAUCUGCCACUACUUACACAAUGUCUGAUACAUGACAGCCUCUUAAAAAUAUUUACUGGCUCAGUGAUUUGUACAGAGACAUGAAAAGAUGCAUUUUAUUUUGAAAGAAAAAAAGCUACUUAAAAAACUGCAUGUAAAAUACAUGAACAUUAUGUUUAAACGUGUUAGAGUGCUUGUAUCUGAAUAUGAAUGCCCUUGAUGGAUAUGUGAAAUGUGCUGAAGGUAGUUCCUCUAUAAAAAGGAUCUAGGCAAUCACUAGAAGAAAGCGUUUUCUUCUUUAAGUGAUACUAUUUGGAACUUUCCUGUGUGUACCUAAAACCUUGGGGUUUUUAUGUGUGUGUGUGUGUAUUUGGAGGCUGUUUUCCAAAUUUUUAAAUGCAUAUAAAUGAAUAAAAAGUCCUGGGAGGAUAUAUAACAAUCUUAAAAUGGUUAUUUGGGGAAGAAUCAGAAGAAUCUUAGGAGUAGGUGAAUGUGUAUAUGAAUUAUGGAAAUUAACACUUUCUCAUCUCAGAGUUCUCCUGUGGCACAGUGGGUUAAAAACCUGUCAUUGUUACUGCAGCACCUUGGGUUGAUGACGUGGUACAGGUACAAUCCCUGACCUGGGAACUUCCACAUGCUGCAGGCAUGCCCCUAACCCCCCAAAGACUUUUUCAUCUCGAUUUUUAGUUUUUAAAAAACAAUCAGGUAUUACCUAGAAAAGGAUGCUAUUUCUUUUUUCAAAUACGAUUUUUUUUGAAUGACUGCACCCACAGCAUA